CACCGCGGUUAUACGAGAGGCCCGAGCUGAUAGACCUCGGCGUAAAGGGUGGUUAAGGAACUAAAAAACUAAAGUCAAACACCCCCAAAAUUGUAAAAAGUAAUUGGGGACAGGAAGAACACCUACGAAAGUGACUUUACCAAACUGAAACCACGAAAGCUAUGAGA
Molecule: ribosomal RNA, 167 nt
Filed under: Lubbockichthys sp. MOOP_6973
Lineage: Eukaryota; Metazoa; Chordata; Actinopteri; Pseudochromidae
Description: partial small subunit ribosomal RNA
Source: RNAcentral